This 253-nucleotide ribosomal RNA is filed under the name uncultured bacterium. RNAcentral describes it as "partial 16S ribosomal RNA". It matches the Rfam family "Bacterial small subunit ribosomal RNA", at positions 524 to 776 of the family's 1533-position model. The record is from RNAcentral.
UACGAAGGGGGCUAGCGUUGCUCGGAAUUACUGGGCGUAAAGGGAGCGUAGGCGGAUAGUUUAGUCAGAGGUGAAAGCCCAGGGCUCAACCUUGGAAUUGCCUUUGAUACUGGCUAUCUUGAGUACGGAAGAGGUAUGUGGAACUCCGAGUGUAGAGGUGAAAUUCGUAGAUAUUCGGAAGAACACCAGUGGCGAAGGCGACAUACUGGUCCGUUACUGACGCUGAGGCUCGAAAGCGUGGGGAGCGAACAGG